CGNNNNUUGAUCAAUUUAUAUAAGAGGUCCUGCCUGCCCAGUGACACCCGUUCAACGGCCGCGGUAUUAUGACCGUGCAAAGGUAGCGUAAUCACUUGUCCCUUAAAUAGAGACCAGUAUGAAUGGCAAAACGAAGGCUCAACUGUCUCUUUAAAUUCAUCAGUAAAAUUGAUCUCUCCGUGCAGAAGCGGAGAUUACCUUAUAAGACGAGAAGACCCUAUGGAGCUUCAAGCUUAAAUUAAUUAUAUCUAUUAAAAUAUAAUAAAUAAUAUAAUUACAAGCCUUUGGUUGGGGUGACCACGGGAUAAACCUAUCUCCCGAAACAAUAAACCUAGAAAGACACUUAUAAGUUAUAAUAUAAUUAAUAUAAUUGACCCAAUAUUUGAUCAACGAACCAAGUUACCCUAGGGAUAACAGCGCAAUCCUUUCUUAGAGUCCCUAUCGAUGAAUGGGUUUACGACCUCGAUGUUGGAUCAGGACCCCCAAAUGGUGUAGCAGCUAUUAAAGGUUCGUUUGUUCAACGAUUAAAGUCCU
RNAcentral lists this ribosomal RNA (534 nucleotides) under Ensatina eschscholtzii xanthoptica (yellow-eyed Enstina). RNAcentral's name for it is "partial 16S ribosomal RNA". It matches the Rfam family "Bacterial large subunit ribosomal RNA", at positions 1824 to 2597 of the family's 2925-position model. The record is from RNAcentral. Lineage: Eukaryota; Metazoa; Chordata; Amphibia; Caudata; Plethodontidae.